Molecule: ribosomal RNA, 506 nt
Filed under: uncultured bacterium
Lineage: Bacteria
Description: partial 16S ribosomal RNA
Rfam family: Bacterial small subunit ribosomal RNA
Source: RNAcentral
GAUGAACGCUAGCUACAGGCUUAACACAUGCAAGUCGAGGGGUAACGAGAGGAAAGCUUGCUUUCCUUGUCGACGACCGGCGCACGGGUGAGUAACGCGUAUCCAACCUGCCCCCAACUAGGGAAUAACCUUGCGAAAGUAAGACUAAUACCCUAUAAUUUCCUCAGAUGUCAUCUGACGAGGAAUAAAGAUUUAUCGGUUGUGGAUGGGGAUGCGUCUGAUUAGCUUGUUGGCGGGGUAACGGCCCACCAAGGCAACGAUCAGUAGGGGUUCUGAGGGGAAGGUCCCCCACAUUGGAACUGAGACACGGUCCAAACUCCGACGGGAGGCAGCAGUGAGGAAUAUUGGUCAAUGGGCGGAAGCCUGAACCAGCCAAGUAGCGUGCAGGAUGACGGCCCUAUGGGUUGUAAACUGCUUUUAUACAGGAAUAAAGUUAGCCACGUGUGGUUAUUUGUAGGUACUGUAUGAAUAAGGACCGGCUAAUUCCGUGCCAGCCGCCGCAGUAA